GACGAACGCUGGCGGCGUGCUUAACACAUGCAAGUCGAACGGAAAGGCCCUGCUUUUGUGGGGUGCUCGAGUGGCGAACGGGUGAGUAACACGUGAGUAACCUGCCCUUGACUUUGGGAUAACUUCAGGAAACUGGGGCUAAUACCGGAUAGGAGCUCCUGCUGCAUGGUGGGGGUUGGAAAGUUUCGGCGGUUGGGGAUGGACUCGCGGCUUAUCAGCUUGUUGGUGGGGUAGUGGCUUACCAAGGCUUUGACGGGUAGCCGGCCUGAGAGGGUGACCGGCCACAUUGGGACUGCGAUACGGCCCAGACUCCUACGGGAGGCAGCAGUGGGGAAUAUUGCACAAUGGGCGGAAGCCUGAUGCAGCAACGCCGCGUGCGGGAUGACGGCCUUCGGGUUGUAUACCGCUUUCGCCUGUGACGAAGCGUGAGUGACGGUAAUGGGUAAAGAAGCACCGGCUAACUACGUG
RNAcentral lists this ribosomal RNA (468 nucleotides) under uncultured bacterium. RNAcentral's name for it is "partial 16S ribosomal RNA". It matches the Rfam family "Bacterial small subunit ribosomal RNA", at positions 28 to 507 of the family's 1533-position model. The record is from RNAcentral.